AUGCAGUCGAGCGGAGAUGAGGUGCUUGCACCUUAUCUUAGCGGCGGACGGGUGAGUAAUGCUUAGGAAUCUGCCUAUUAGUGGGGGACAACAUUCCGAAAGGAAUGCUAAUACCGCAUACGCCCUACGGGGGAAAGCAGGGGAUCUUCGGACCUUGCGCUAAUAGAUGAGCCUAAGUCGGAUUAGCUAGUUGGUGGGGUAAAGGCCUACCAAGGCGACGAUCUGUAGCGGGUCUGAGAGGAUGAUCCGCCACACUGGGACUGAGACACGGCCCAGACUCCUACGGGAGGCAGCAGUGGGGAAUAUUGGACAAUGGGCGGAAGCCUGAUCCAGCCAUGCCGCGUGUGUGAAGAAGGCCUUUUGGUUGUAAAGCACUUUAAGCGAGGAGGAGGCUACUUAGAUUAAUACUCUAGGAUAGUGGACGUUACUCGCAGAAUAAGCACCGGCUAACUCUGUGCCAGCAGCCGCGGUAAUACAGAGGGUGCGAGCGUUAAUCGGAUUUACUGGGCGUAAAGCGUGCGUAGGCGGCUGAUUAAGUCGGAUGUGAAAUCCCUGAGCUUAACUUAGGAAUUGCAUUCGAUACUGGUCAGCUAGAGUAUGGGAGAGGAUGGUAGAAUUCCAGGUGUAGCGGUGAAAUGCGUAGAGAUCUGGAGGAAUACCGAUGGCGAACGCAGCCAUCUGGCCUAAUACUGACGCUGAG
Molecule: ribosomal RNA, 700 nt
Filed under: Acinetobacter sp.
Lineage: Bacteria; Pseudomonadati; Pseudomonadota; Gammaproteobacteria; Moraxellales; Moraxellaceae
Description: bacterial SSU rRNA
Rfam family: Bacterial small subunit ribosomal RNA
Source: RNAcentral